Long non-coding RNA from Leopardus geoffroyi (Geoffroy's cat), 617 nucleotides. RefSeq lists it as uncharacterized. NCBI's taxonomy places the organism in Eukaryota, Metazoa, Chordata, Mammalia, Carnivora, Felidae. The record is from RefSeq and is a predicted model, not a curated record. The transcript is spliced from 4 exons.
CUGGAGCGUGAACCUCCGCCCCCGAGCCCAGGAGGGGGCAGCAGGUGCCGGGGCAGCUGGGCGUGCGCCCGCCGGUGGACUCGGCGCCCCCGGCGCGGGCGUUUCAUGCGACACUCCAGGAUGGGGGCUGCAGGGACGCACAGAACUUACGCCCUAGCUCCGUGGAGCCUCUAUGAAUAAGACAAGUCAGCGCUAAAAAUACAGUGGACAACCCGGAGGGACAUAAGCCAGGGAUCUGCAAUCCAGGAGGGUCCAGAGUGGUCCCAGAGACCCCCCUUGGAGGAGGUGGGCGGGACCCUGGAUGUUUUGCUCCAGCUGUAAGGCCUGGCAAGCAGAGGGCCCUCGGGAAAUGUAUGUUGGCUGAAUGCACGACGGAAUGGAGCCCAUGUGAAGGUGCAGGGAGAAGGCCGUGUGACAACAGUGGCGGAGACUGAAGAGAUGUACGCACAGGCCAAGGAGCACCACGAUCCCUGGGAGCACCACAAGUGAUGAGAAAGGCACGUGUGGAACAGAUUCUCCCUUCUUCGUGCACUCGGAGGGAGUCCAAGUCCUGCUGCCACCUUGAGUCUGGACCUCGGGCUCCAGAACCACGAGAGAAUGACCUUCUGUUGUCCUCA